Molecule: non-coding RNA, 1198 nt
Organism: Nicotiana tabacum (common tobacco)
Lineage: Eukaryota; Viridiplantae; Streptophyta; Magnoliopsida; Solanales; Solanaceae
Source: RefSeq, a predicted model, not a curated record
CUCAUAUCCCCACUAUCCUCUGCAUCACCUGCCCAUAUCCUUUCUCCCCAAGUCGCGCACUUGCAUAUAAACACACAAACAUAUACAAAAAAGACGACACGGGCGGAAAAGGAGGAGAGAUUGAGGGUUUCAAAAUUCUUCUAAGAGUUUUCUUUUAGAAUUUCUUUUCUCAAAUUUUUUUUGGCUUCUUCCAUUUUCAUCUUUGUUCCAAGCUCGAAAGUAUACAAAAACAGUUAGUUUCUUUGUUUAAUUUUGUUUUUUAAAUCAAUGGAGUCCGUUUGAAAUUGUGGAGUUUGAUUGAGUUUGAAGUCCUCUCGAGUUCUCCGUCAUCUGUCUGUCGUCGCUCGUGGUUCUGAUUUGGGUUCGCGAUCUCUGUUUGGAUCCAUUCCUACUUUCUCGCUUGGAUUUUGGCACAAAAUGUGUACGCGCUGGUCUCUUCUGUCGUUACUAAAGUGAUUCUUACUUAACAGAUUUUGGCAUUGGUCCCAGCUGAUCGAGAGGCAUAGCAGCUCAGACUGGUUCAUUGGAGACUCAAGAUGGUGAGAACACAUGCUACAUCUUCAACUGGACAGCAGCCGGAGCCCCCAGUGGCAGCUCCUACGAGGGGAAGAGGUCGAGGCCGAGGCCGCGCCAGAGGCCGAGGCAGGGGCAGAGCUCAACCCAGAGCUCAGCCCAGAGCUCAAGCAGCAAUACCAGCAGUGGAGCCCCAGGUCGAGUUUGAGGAGGAGGUUCCAUCCUAGACUGUGCCUGCUGGACCAGCUCAGGUUCCAGAGGGGUUCAUCGCCACCCCAGUGCUUCAGGAUGCUUUGGUCUGUUUGGUAGGCCUUAUGGAGAGUGUGGACCAGGCCGGUACCUUUCAUACGGAACCAGCCGUCUCUCAAGUUGGGGGAGGACCACAGACUCCCGCUACUCACACUCUGGAGCAGAUGGUUCCCCAGUAUCAGACUCCAGUAGCCCUGCCAGUUGGGAUUGUUCAGCCAGUUAUUGCGGCACAGGCCGGUGAUGGAUCCGCCAUGUCUUCUGAGGCUUUAUAGAGAUUAGACAGGUUUACUAAAAUCUUUGCAGUUCACUUCAGUGGUGCAUCUUCAGAGGAUCCCCAGGAGUAUCAUGACAGCUAUCAUGAGGUGCUACAGAACAUGGGUAUAGUGGAGACCAAUGGGGUCAAUUUUGCUGUAUUUCAGAUGACAGGUUCCGUCAA